Molecule: small RNA, 125 nt
Filed under: Marmota monax (woodchuck)
Lineage: Eukaryota; Metazoa; Chordata; Mammalia; Rodentia; Sciuridae
Source: RNAcentral
GCUGGGUGUGUUGGUGCACGUCUGUAAUCCCAGCAGCUUGUGAGGCUGAGGCAGGAGGAUCUCAAGUUCAAAGCCAGCCUCAGCAAAAGGGAGGCGCUAAGCAACUCAGUGAGUCCCUGUCUCUA